This is a small nucleolar RNA of Rhododendron vialii, 112 nucleotides long. RefSeq annotates it as small nucleolar RNA snoR100. The transcript has a single exon. NCBI's taxonomy places the organism in Eukaryota, Viridiplantae, Streptophyta, Magnoliopsida, Ericales, Ericaceae. The record is from RefSeq and is a predicted model, not a curated record.
GGAUAAAAUUAUCACUUGUGGUAAUGUGCACAGAAAUUUAAUUGGGUCUUUAGGCCAGCCUUCUCUGUUGCCAUUUGACUUUGAUUUGAGGGCAUAAUUUCGCAGCAAAAUA